UACGUAGUUAGCCGGUGCUUCUUCUACACCUACCGUCACCACCCGAAGAUGGCUUCGUCGGUGUCGAAAGAGGUUUACAACCCGAAGGCCGUCAUCCCCACGCGGCGUUGCUGCGUCAGGCUUUCGCCCAUUGCGCAAGAUUCCCCACUGCUGCCUCCCGUAGGAGUCUGGGCCGUGUCUCAGUCCCAGUGUGGCCGGUCACCCUCUCAGGCCGGCUACCCGUCGUCGCCUUGGUAGGCCAUCACCCCACCAACAAGCUGAUAGGCCGCGGGCUCAUCCUGCACCGCCGGAGCUUUCCACACCACACCAUGCGGCACGAUGUCAUAUCCGGUAUUAGACCCCGUUUCCAGGGCUUAUCCCAGAGUGCAGGGCAGAUUACCCACGUGUUACUCACCCGUUCGCCACUCAUCCACGGUGCAAGCACCGCUUCAGCGUUCGACUUGCAUGUGUUAAGCACGCCGCCAGCGUGUCCUGAGUCCACGGACUCAACUAC
Molecule: ribosomal RNA, 493 nt
Filed under: uncultured Saccharopolyspora sp.
Lineage: Bacteria; Bacillati; Actinomycetota; Actinomycetes; Pseudonocardiales; Pseudonocardiaceae
Description: partial 16S ribosomal RNA
Source: RNAcentral